RNAcentral lists this long non-coding RNA (1370 nucleotides) under Gallus gallus (chicken). The record is from RNAcentral. Lineage: Eukaryota; Metazoa; Chordata; Aves; Galliformes; Phasianidae.
CCCCCCCCCUCCUUGGGGGGCAUUUUUGGGUAACUGCAGCCCCCCCCUAUAGAUGGCACUGCCCCAUUCGGAGCCCCCCCCGCACCCCCACCCCCCCCGGCGCCGCUUUUCCCUUUGGGUUUUCCAGUUGUGCCUUAACCGGGGAGCAGCGCUCAGUGGGACACCAAUGGGACCCCCCGUGUGACACCGAGGGGACACCAAUGGGACCCCAAUGGGACACCGGGACCCCCAGUGUGACACCAAUGGGACCCCAGUGAGACCCCCUGUGUGACACCAAGGGGACACCAAUGGGACACCAACGGGACCCCAGUGAGACCCCCAGUGUGACACCAAUGGGACCCCAAUGGGACCCCCCGUGUGACUCCAAUGGGACACCAACGGGACACCAAUGGGACACCGGGACCGCCAGUGUGAUACCAGUGGGACCCCAGUGAGACCCCCAGUGUGACACCGAGGGGACACCGAGGGGACCCCAAUGGGACCCCAGUGUGACUCCAAGGGGACACCAAUGGUUCCCCCAGUGUGACACCGAGGAGACACCAAUGGAACACCAAGAAGACACCAAUGGGACCCCCAGUGUGACACCAGUGGGACACCAAUGGGACACCAAUGGGACACCAAUGGGACACUGGGACCCAAAGUGUGACACCGAGAGGACCCCCAGUGUGACACCAAUGGGACACCAAUGGGACACUGAGGGGACACCAAUGGGACCCACAGCGCCCCAAUGUGACACUGAGGGGACAGUGGGACCCCCAGCACUUUGAGGUGACCCCAAAGGGACCCCCAAUGUGACACUGAGGGGACACCAAUGGGACCCACUGUGCCCCAAUGUGACACUGGGGGAGCAGUGGGACCCCCGGCACUCUGAUGUGACCCCGAGGGGACCCCCAGUGUGACACUGAGGGGACCCACUGUGCCUCAAUGUGACCCCGAGGGGACCCCCAAUGUGACACUGUGGGGACAGUGGGACCCCCCAGCAGUUCGCGGUGACCCCGAGGGGACCCCCAAUGUGACACUGAGGGGACAGCGGGACCCACAGCGCCCCAAUGUGACACUGGGGGGACAGUGGGACCCCCACCACUCUGAUGUGACACUGAGGGGACCCCCAGUGUGACACUGAGGGGACAGUGGGACCCCCCACCACUUCGAGGUGACCCGGAGGGGACCCCCACCACUCUGAUGUGACCCCGAGGGGACCCCCGAUGUGACACUGAGGGGACAGUGGGACCCCCAGCACUCUGAUGUGACCCCGAGUGGCCCCACACGGCUCCAUGGGACCCCACUGUGGGGCAGUGGUGGUUAUGCGGGGGGGUCGGGGGCUGCUGCCCCCCCCCACAGCCGCCCCCUGCAGAGCUGUCCCCCCCCCC